ACGGUCCUAAGGUAGCGAAAUUCCUUGUCGGGUAAGUUCCGACCCGCACGAAAGGUGUAACGAUUUGGGCACUGUCUCAACGAGGGACCCGGUGAAAUUGAAAUACCUGUGAAGAUGCAGGUUACCCGCGACUGGACAGAAAGACCCCAUGGAGCUUUACUGUAACCUGACAUUGGGUUUUGUUGUAUUACGUACAGGAUAGGUGGGAGGCUUGGAAGGCUGGACGCUAGUCUGGCUGGAGCCGUCGUUGGGAUACCACCCUUGAUACAACGGAAUUCUAACCGAGAGAGUAACGAAAUCCGGGACAGUGUCAGGCGGGCAGUUUGACUGGGGCGGUCGCCUCCGAAAGAGUAACGGAGGCGCCCAAAGGUUCCCUCAGCGCGGCCGGAAAUCGCGCGAAGAGUGUAAAGGCAGAAGGGAGCUUGACUGCGAGCCAAACACGGCGAGCAGGUACGAAAGUAGGGCUUAGUGAUCCGGUGGUACCGAGUGGAAGGGCCAUCGCUCAACGGAUAAAAGCUACCCUGGGGAUAACAGGCUAAUCUCUCCCAAGAGUCCAUAUCGACGGGGAGGUUUGGCACCUCGAUGUCGGCUCAUCACAUCCUGGGGCUGAAGUCGGUCCCAAGGGUUGGGCUGUUCGCCCAUUAAAGUGGUACGUGAGCUGGGUUCAGAACGUCGUGAGACAGUUCGGUCCCUAUCCAUCGCGGGCGCAAGAGAUUUGAAGGGGUCUGCUCCUAGUACGAGAGGACCGGAGUGGACGGACCGCUGGUGUACCAGUUAUUCCGCCAGGAGUACAGCUGGGUAGCUACGUCCGGACUGGAUAAACGCUGAAAGCAUCUAAGCGUGAAGCCAUCCUUAAGAUGAGAUCUCUCACAGAGUAAUCUGGUAAGACACCUUAAAGAAGAUGAGGUAGAUAGGCCGGGAGUGUAAGUGCAGCAAUGUAUUGAGCUGACCGGUACUAAUAUGUCGAGGGCUUGACUUC
RNAcentral lists this ribosomal RNA (979 nucleotides) under metagenome. RNAcentral describes it as "bacterial LSU rRNA". It matches the Rfam family "Bacterial large subunit ribosomal RNA", at positions 1945 to 2925 of the family's 2925-position model. The record is from RNAcentral. RNAcentral also lists the same sequence under 1 other name.